This 513-nucleotide ribosomal RNA is filed under the name uncultured bacterium. RNAcentral's name for it is "partial 16S ribosomal RNA". It matches the Rfam family "Bacterial small subunit ribosomal RNA", at positions 28 to 523 of the family's 1533-position model. The record is from RNAcentral.
GACGAACGCUGGCGGCAUGCCUAAUACAUGCAAGUCGAGCGAACGGAUGAAGUGCUUGCACUUCUGACGUUAGCGGCGAACGGGUGAGUAACACGUAAGGAAUCUACCUAUAAGCGGGGGAUAACAUUCGGAAACGGGUGCUAAUACCGCAUAAUAUCUUCUUCCGCAUGGAAGAAGAUUGAAAGACGGCUCUGCUGUCACUUAUAGAUGACCUUGCGGUGCAUUAGUUAGUUGGUGGGGUAAUGGCCUACCAAGACGAUGAUGCAUAGCCGACCUGGGAGGGUGAUCGGCAACAUUGGGACUGAGACACGGCCCAAAAUCCUACGGGAGGCAGCAGUAGGGAAUCUUCCGCAAUGGGCGAAAGCCUGACGGAGCAAUGCCGCGUGAGUGAAGAAGGCCUUCGGGUCGUAAAACUCUGUUAUAAGAGAAGAACAAAUUGUAGAGUAACUGCUACAGUCUUGACGGUAUCUUAUCAGAAAGCCACGGCUAACUACGUGCCAGCCGCCGCAGUAA